Molecule: ribosomal RNA, 432 nt
Filed under: uncultured bacterium
Lineage: Bacteria
Description: bacterial SSU rRNA
Rfam family: Bacterial small subunit ribosomal RNA
Source: RNAcentral
AACACAUGCAAGUCGAACGGGCGUAGCAAUACGUCAGUGGCAGACGGGUGGGUAACACGUGAGAGCGUACCUCUUGGUUCGGAACAACACAGGGAAACUUGUGCUAAUACCGGAUAAGCCCUUACGGGGAAAGAUUUAUCGCCGAGAGAUCGGCCCGCGUCUGAUUAGCUAGUUGGUAGGGUAAUGGCCUACCAAGGCGACGAUCAGUAGCUGGUCUGAGAGGAUGAUCAGCCACAUUGGGACUGAGACACGGCCCAAACUCCUACGGGAGGCAGCAGUGGGGAAUAUUGGACAAUGGGGGCAACCCUGAUCCAGCCAUGCCGCGUGAGUGAUGAAGGCCCUAGGGUUGUAAAGCUCUUUUGUGCGGGAAGAUAAUGACGGUACCGCAAGAAUAAGCCCCGGCUGACUUCGUGCCAGCAGCCGCGGUAAUUC